Molecule: ribosomal RNA, 253 nt
Filed under: uncultured bacterium
Lineage: Bacteria
Description: partial 16S ribosomal RNA
Rfam family: Bacterial small subunit ribosomal RNA
Source: RNAcentral
UACGUAGGGGGCAAACGUUGCUCGGAAUCAUUGGGCGUAAAGCGCACGUAGGCGGCUUUGCAAGUCGGACGUGAAAUCCCUCAGCUCAACUGAGGGCGUGCAUCCGAAACUGCAAGGCUUGAGUACUGAAGAGGAUCGCGGAGUUCCCGGUGUAGAGGUGAAAUUCGUAGAUAUCGGGAGGAACACCAGUGGCGAAGGCGGCGAUCUGGGCAGAUACUGACGCUGAGGUGCGAAAGCGUGGGGAGCAAACAGG